UAGGGAAUCUUCGGCAAUGGGGGCAACCCUGACCGAGCAACGCCGCGUGAGUGAAGAAGGUUUUCGGAUCGUAAAGCUCUGUUGUAAGAGAAGAACGUGUGUGAGAGUGGAAAGUUCACACAGUGACGGUAACUUACCAGAAAGGGACGGCUAACUACGUGCCAGCAGCCGCGGUAAUACGUAGGUCCCGAGCGUUGUCCGGAUUUAUUGGGCGUAAAGCGGGCGCAGGCGGUUUAAUAAGUCUGAAGUUAAAGGCAGUGGCUUAACCAUUGUUCGAUUUGGAAACUGUUAAACUUGAGUGCAGAAGGGGAGAGUGGAAUUCCAUGUGUAGCGGUGAAAUGCGUAGAUAUAUGGAGGAACACCGGUGGCGAAAGCGGCUCUCUGGUCUGUAACUGACGCUGAGGCUCGAAAGCGUGGGGAGCAAACAGG
This 429-nucleotide ribosomal RNA is filed under the name bacterium. RNAcentral's name for it is "partial 16S ribosomal RNA". It matches the Rfam family "Bacterial small subunit ribosomal RNA", at positions 355 to 776 of the family's 1533-position model. The record is from RNAcentral.